GUUGGGAUCACCGGGGCCUCCAUCGCCCGGCAUGUACACGCUACAUUAGGUGUAGGUAAGACGCACACUCACUGCUUCCCUGGUGCUUGUGUUCUCAAUGUUUCUGUGCAGGUGCCUGGGAUAAUGAAGACAAUUUGGGUUGUCGUGUUACACGCCAGGUGAACAACAUCAGAGUGCGGCAGUCAGAGAUCCUAAAGAAGGACUCCAUAUGUUUAGUCGAGACAGUACGCCGUACAUCUCUUACGACGAGGAUAUUUGUUUCAGGACCGCUUUCCCGAUACUGACAAGGACAUUUAAGCAAUUAUGUGAGCUGCAGUCUGGAUCCUGCCUCUGUCAGAUGACCUAACACAAAUGGAAAGAUGACAUCGACCCUUGCAAGGACUUCAGACGAUCCCAGCACUGGACUACAUACAGUGGUAAUCAUAUUUUCAGUAGUCCGUGUCAAAUUUUCUUUCAAGUGUUUGGGUGAGAUCUAGACCGAGGACUAAGGCGUAUACUAGGACAGAACUAAGUGUUGUGGCCCACAGGUGAUCCUAAAGCAACAAAGAGGAACCAUGGAGAGGAAGAAGUGGUGUCCAGAUGUUUAAAAGGCGGUGUUCGGGACAGGAAGCAAAGGCAACAAAGAGGAACCUCUAAGGUUUAAAGGCACUGCUUGCAGAGACGAGUGCAGAAAACAAGACAGAAGACCUGUCGAGAAUGUUUUAUGAUUAAAUGUUUUUGUUAUGUACAUGCACAUUAUUAUUUACAAUAUAUUUCUAAGAUACAUAAAUAUGUGACCUUGUAUAUGAAAUCCAGGCUACUGUCUUAACAUCUUAUGACAUCUAAAGUUUGAAUUUACUGAUUUAACAUUGAGUUCAGUCUUUGGCAUGACCUUACUCAGUCAGUAUUGAAUAUGUCAAGAUUAUAUUUUCAGAUAAUGUUUUCUGAAUUGUGUAGGAUGAUUUUAUGUAGAAAACAGUAAGUCACAAAGAAAUACUUUGCUGGGUUUUCACAGGCCGUGUCCCAUUUGUACAACAUAUGUGAAUUAUCUUGAGACUAAAACUUCUGAAAUCCAAACUGUUAUAUUUUAGCAUUUCAAAUGCAGCCACCCUUUGCCUAGAAUUUGAAAUAUAUACCCUUGGGUUUUUCAGUAAUUUUUUGACAUCUCACCCUGAGAUAUUUUUAAAGAAAUUUCUAUGUAUUAUGGGCUUGAAUUACUUGUUUAUUUUAUCAUUUUGUCCAAGUAAUUUGAAAAAAGUUUUAAAUUAAAUUUUAGUUCUCAAUUGAAAUAAAUAUAUAUGUUGAGACUAUAUUUUUGUCCACAAACGUAAUUGAAUCACAUACUUUAAGAGUAUAUUAUUUUGAAGGGUAUAAGAAAUAUUUUAGUUAAGUGUAAGUAAAACGUUUACACAGUAGUAUAGCAGUGUAUAAUAGUUACAGAAUAUAUAAUUUAUGUGUGACACAUCUAAAUAUUCUGUUACUGAUUUAUCCAAGUUGUUUAUGUGUUAUAUUUGUCAAAUGAAUAAAUUUGCAACGGUUAUUGACAGUGGUGU
Molecule: non-coding RNA, 1532 nt
Organism: Paramisgurnus dabryanus
Lineage: Eukaryota; Metazoa; Chordata; Actinopteri; Cypriniformes; Cobitidae
Source: RefSeq, a predicted model, not a curated record